Larimichthys crocea (large yellow croaker) is the source of this 85-nucleotide non-coding RNA. The record is from Rfam. NCBI's taxonomy places the organism in Eukaryota, Metazoa, Chordata, Actinopteri, Sciaenidae.
UGAGGUCAGCUGCUUUGACAAUGUUGCACUACUGUACCAUCCAUUCUAGCAGUGCAAUAGUAUUGUCAUAGCAUUUGGCCCCAAG